Long non-coding RNA from Spodoptera frugiperda (fall armyworm), 882 nucleotides. RefSeq lists it as uncharacterized. NCBI's taxonomy places the organism in Eukaryota, Metazoa, Arthropoda, Insecta, Lepidoptera, Noctuidae. The transcript is spliced from 2 exons. The record is from RefSeq and is a predicted model, not a curated record.
GCCAGACAAGGGUUCGAUUCCCGGGUCGGGCGAAGUAUUGCUGGGCCUUAUUCGGCUUUUCGCAAAUUUCUCAGUAGUAGCAUAGAGUCUGGAAUGGUGCCCAGUAUAUGACAAUAGGCUCGCCCUCUAUUACAUGGGACUUACAAUAUAAAUGGUUAAAUGUGGGUGUACAUUGUACAGUGGUUGUAAUAUGAAUUCGAUGUUAAUAUACCCCGCCAAGCUCUCCUAAGUUGCUAAAAUCUGAUGAGGAUUAGACCAAUGAGUUUUUAAUAUCAAAACUAGAAUAAAAUCUAUGAGAGUUUUCAAGGUUCUAACAACAACACGGAACUCUUUGCUUAAAUUGUUGUGGUUUCAGAGUCACAGAGUCAUAACAACACAGAGUAAAAUGUCAUGAAACGUAUUGUAUAUCAUCAAUAUACGUGCAUCUUAUUUUAAACCACUUAUAUUACUACUCUAUCGUGUAUACAUGUUAUGACUUAUGAUACAAUAAGUAAAUAAAAUUAUGUGUAGAUAACAAAACACUACCGUUUGAUUGAACAUACUCCAAUUGUAAAGUAAUUGUGGAAAUUAUAUAAAGAAUAAAUGCAAUGUAAAUCAUGGUAUAUGGUGUAAUACUGGCUGUGAUUGUGGCAGCUGUGUGGUUGCCAUGUAUUAGGAAAGGAAUAUGGGCCCAACCCGGCCCGGUUUAUGCAAGAGACAGAAAGAAUCGCGUGUUUCAAAUCACACCAACUGGAAAAUGUUGUGAAAGUCAAUGUAGAAACAAAUAAUUACUUGUAUCUUAUAUCAAGUUUUUCUUUUGUGCCACACCCGAAUGACAAAAUCUUGAUAUUCAUUCAUUUAUUCGUUAAAAUACUAUUAGUAUUGUUUUCUAUUGCUCUCUUA